UGCUGACCAGCUAGCCCACCCUAACAAAAACAACAACCCAAUAUAAAUAACCCCAAACACACUACUCCUCCUAUAAACAAACCAUUUUACCCCCCUAGUAUGGGCGACAGAAAAGGAACUAUUGGAGCGAUAGAGAAAGUACCGCAAGGGAACGCUGAAAGAGAAAUGAAAUAACCCAGUAAAGCCUAAAAAAGCAGAGAUUUUACCUCGUACCUUUUGCAUCAUGAUUUAGCUAGUACUACCCAAGCAAAGAGAACUUUAGUUUGGACCCCCGAAACUAGGUGAGCUACUCCAAGACAGCCUAUCAAUAGGGCAAACCCGUCUCUGUGGCAAAAGAGUGGGAAGAGCUUUGAGUAGAGGUGACAGACCUACCGAACCUAGUUAUAGCUGGUUGCCUGAGAAUUGGAUAGGAGUUCAGCCUCCAGGCUUCUCUAUUCACCGCGGUCUUACCCCUACCGAUGCACUAAAGAAGCCUAGAGAGUUAAUCAAAGGGGGUACAGCCCCUUUGAGACAAGAUACAACUUUUCCAGGAGGGUAAAGAUCAUAUUUACCCAAGGUAACAAUGCCCAGGUGGGCCUAAAAGCAGCCAUCCUUACAGAAAGCGUUAAAGCUCAAGCAUUACACCUUCCCACAUAUUCAGAUAACCAUAUCCCAACCCCCUAAUAUUAUCAGGCCAUCUCAUGCAUACAUGAGAGUGCACAUGCUAAUAUGAGUAACAAGAGAGCAUCCGCCUCUCUCCUUGCACACGUGUAAAUCGGAACGAACCCCCACCGAAACUUAACGGCCCCAAACAAAGAGGGCAAUGAACAACAAGUAAGCAACCAGAAAACCAUCCAAAAAACAACCGUUAACCCCACACUGGUGUGCCAUUAAGGAAAGACUAAAAGAAAAAGAAGGAACUCGGCAAACAUACCAAGCCUCGCCUGUUUACCAAAAACAUCGCCUCUUGCAAAAACAAAGAAUAAGAGGUCCAGCCUGCCCUGUGACUAUAUGUUUAACGGCCGCGGUAUUUUAACCGUGCGAAGGUAGCGCAAUCACUUGUCUUUUAAAUGGAGACCUGUAUGAAUGGCAUUACGAGGGCUUAACUGUCUCCUUUUUCUAGUCAGUGAAAUUGAUCUCCCCGUGCAGAAGCGGGGAUAUAACCAUAAGACGAGAAGACCCUAUGGAGCUUUAGACACCAAGGCAUAUCAUGUCAAACACCCCUAAACAAAGGACUAAACCAAAUGAAUCAUACCCCCAUGUCUUUGGUUGGGGCGACCGCGGGGAAAUAAAAAACCCCCACGUGGAAUGGGAGUACUACCUCCUACAACCAAGAGCUGCAGCUCUAAAAAACAGAAUAUCUGACCAAUAAGAUCCGGCAACGCCGAUCAACGGACCGAGUUACCCUAGGGAUAACAGCGCAAUCCCCUUUUAGAGCCCAUAUCGACAAGGGGGUUUACGACCUCGAUGUUGGAUCAGGACAUCCUAAUGGUGCAGCCGCUGUUAAGGGUUCGUUUGUUCAACGAUUAAAGUCCUACGUGAUCUGAGUUCAGACCGGAGUAAUCCAGGUCAGUUUCUAUCUAUGAUAUGUUCUUUUCUAGUACGAAAGGACCGAAAAGAAGAGGCCAAUGCUAAAAGCACGCCUCACCCCUCCUAUUGAAAACAACUAAAAUAGGCAAAAGGGCAUACCCCUCCACGCCCAAGAUAAUGGCAU
Molecule: ribosomal RNA, 1693 nt
Filed under: Thunnus obesus (bigeye tuna)
Lineage: Eukaryota; Metazoa; Chordata; Actinopteri; Scombriformes; Scombridae
Description: 16S ribosomal RNA
Rfam family: Bacterial large subunit ribosomal RNA
Source: RNAcentral